CACAGUGUAGCAAUACAUGGGUGGCGACCGGCAAACGGGUGCGGAACACGUACGCAACCUUCCUUCAGGCGGGGAAUAGCCCAGAGAAAUUUGGAUUAAUACCCCAUAAUAUUUUGAGAUGGCAUCAUCUUAUUAUUAAAGCUACGGCACCUGGAGAUGGGCGUGCGGCUGAUUAGGUAGUUGGCGGGGUAAUGGCCCACCAAGCCUACGAUCAGUAGCUGAUGUGAGAGCAUGAUCAGCCACACGGGCACUGAGACACGGGCCCGACUCCUACGGGAGGCAGCAGUAAGGAAUAUUGGUCAAUGGACGCAAGUCUGAACCAGCCAUGCCGCGUGGAGGAUGAAGGUCCUCUGGAUUGUAAACUUCUUUUAUCUGGGACGAAAAAAGGGUUUUCUAACUCGUCUGACGGUACCAGAUGAAUAAGCACCGGCUAACUCCGUGCCAGCAGCCGCGGUAAUACGGAGGGUGCAAGCGUUAUCCGGAUUCGCUGGGUUUAAAGGGUGCGUAGGCGGGCAUUUAAGUCAGUGGUGAAAUACCUGAGCUUAACUUGGGAACUGCCAUUGAUACUAUUUGUCUUGAAUGUCGUGGAGGUUAGCGGAAUAUGUCAUGUAGCGGUGAAAUGCUUAGAUAUGACAUAGAACACCUAUUGCGAAGGCAGCUAACUACGCGAAUAUUGACGCUGAGGCACGAAAGCGUGGGGAUCAAACAGGAUUAGAUACCCUGGUAGUCCACGCCCUAAACGAUGAUUACUCGACAUUAGCGAUACACUGUUAGUGUCUGAGCG
Molecule: ribosomal RNA, 784 nt
Filed under: uncultured bacterium
Lineage: Bacteria
Description: SSU rRNA
Rfam family: Bacterial small subunit ribosomal RNA
Source: RNAcentral